AUACGGAGGGGGUUAGCGUUGUUCGGAAUAACUGGGCGUAAAGCGCACGUAGGCGGAAUGUUAAGUUAGAGGUGAAAUCCCAGGGCUCAACCCUGGAACUGCCUUUAAUACUGGCAAUCUAGAGACCGAGAGAGGUGAGUGGAAUUCCGAGUGUAGAGGUGAAAUUCGUAGAUAUUCGGAGGAACACCAGUGGCGAAGGCGGCUCACUGGCUCGGUACUGACGCUGAGGUGUGAAAGCGUGGGGAGCAAACAGGAUUAGAAACCCCAGUAGUCC
RNAcentral lists this ribosomal RNA (274 nucleotides) under uncultured bacterium. RNAcentral describes it as "partial 16S ribosomal RNA". It matches the Rfam family "Bacterial small subunit ribosomal RNA", at positions 523 to 796 of the family's 1533-position model. The record is from RNAcentral.